RNAcentral lists this long non-coding RNA (211 nucleotides) under Elaeis guineensis (African oil palm). RNAcentral describes it as "long non-coding RNA (EGUI_LNC025478)". The record is from RNAcentral. Lineage: Eukaryota; Viridiplantae; Streptophyta; Magnoliopsida; Arecales; Arecaceae.
GCCGCGACGGUCGUAGACUCAUUGAGGUCCCAAACCUCUAAGGUGGCAGCAUUGAAAUGUACCACAAAGUCUUGUAGAGAUUCUUCAUCUUGCUGUCUAAUGGAGAAAAGGCUAUCGGACAUUCGUGGCAUCCUCUGAUUGGUGCCAAAAUGUGCCAUAAAGAGUUGUUUGAACUGCUCGAAUGAAUAGAUACUCCUUGGUUGAAGUCUAG